RNAcentral lists this unclassified non-coding RNA (343 nucleotides) under soil metagenome. RNAcentral describes it as "partial contains 5.8S ribosomal RNA, internal transcribed spacer 2, and large subunit ribosomal RNA". The stretch from base 1 to 120 matches the Rfam family "5.8S ribosomal RNA", at positions 35 to 154 of the family's 154-position model. The record is from RNAcentral.
GAUGAAGAACGCAGCGAAAUGCGAUACGUAAUGUGAAUUGCAGAAUUCAGUGAAUCAUCGAGUCUUUGAACGCACAUUGCGCCCCCUGGUAUUCCGGGGGGCAUGCCUGUCCGAGCGUCAUUGCUGCCCUCAAGCACGGCUUGUGUGUUGGGCCUCCGUCCUCCUCCCGGGGGACGGGCCCGAAAGGCAGCGGCGGCACCGCGUCCGGUCCUCGAGCGUAUGGGGCUUCGUCACCCGCUCUUGUAGGCCCGGCCGGCGCUUGCCGACACAUCAAUCUUUUUUCCAGGUUGACCUCGGAUCAGGUAGGGAUACCCGCUGAACUUAAGCAUAUCAAUAGCGGAGA